UUAAUAAUAUUCUUAUUAAAAAUAUAAUUAUUUUAAUAUUUGGUCCUUUCGUACUAAAAUAUUAUAAUUUUUUAAAGAUAGAAACCAACCUGGCUUACGCCGGUUUGAACUCAGAUCAUGUAAGAAUUUAAAAGUCGAACAGACUUAAAAUUUGAACGGCUACACCCAAAAUUAUAUCUUAAUCCAACAUCGAGGUCGCAAUCUUUUUUAUCGAUAUGAACUCUCCAAAAAAAUUACGCUGUUAUCCCUAAAGUAACUUAAAUUUUUAAUCAUUAUUAAUGGAUCAAUUAUUCAUAAAUCAAUGGUUUUAAAAAUUAAAAGUUUUUUAAAUUUUAAUAUCACCCCAAUAAAAUAUUUUAAUUUAUUAUAAUAAAAAUAAUCUUUAUAAUUAAAAUAAACAAAAUAUAAAGAUUUAUAGGGUCUUCUCGUCUUUUAAAUUUAUUUUAGCUUUUUGACUAAAAAAUAAAAUUCUAUAAAAAAUUUAAAUGAAAC
Molecule: ribosomal RNA, 492 nt
Filed under: Drosophila ingens
Lineage: Eukaryota; Metazoa; Arthropoda; Insecta; Diptera; Drosophilidae
Description: partial 16S ribosomal RNA
Source: RNAcentral